This 290-nucleotide ribosomal RNA is filed under the name uncultured Chlamydiales bacterium. RNAcentral describes it as "partial 16S ribosomal RNA". It matches the Rfam family "Bacterial small subunit ribosomal RNA", at positions 40 to 323 of the family's 1533-position model. Lineage: Bacteria; Pseudomonadati; Chlamydiota; Chlamydiia; Chlamydiales. The record is from RNAcentral.
CGGCGUGGAUGAGGCAUGCAAGUCGAACGAGAGUAGCAAUACUCUAGUGGCGAAAGGGUUAGUAAUACAUGGGUAACUUGCCUUUAACUUGGGAAUAACGGUUGGAAACGACCGCUAAUACCGAAUGUGGAGGAGAUGAGGCGACUUAUUUCUUUUAAAGUAGGGGACCAGCGAUGGCCUUGCGGUUAAAGAGAGGCUCAUGAGAUAUCAGCUAGUUGGUGUGGUAAUGGCGCACCAAGGCAAAGACGUCUAGGCGGAUUGAGAGAUUGACCGCCAACACUGGGACUGAA